GAGUGAUCACUUAAUUUUUUUUUUCUUGGGUCAAAAAGAUAUCCAUUUUAUCAAAUCAAGAAAGAGUUAAUCUUAUUUUUCCAACUUUGCCCCUAUUAAGUGUUGUGUGAUAAAAUCCCAAUGCCUAUUUAAUUAGGGGUAGUUUAGUCAAAUUACCUAUUUUUGCGUAAGAGUUAGUAUUUUUUAAGGGGUGUGCAAAUAGCUAAGUGUACACUCUUUUUGAUCC
Long non-coding RNA from Lycium ferocissimum, 226 nucleotides. RefSeq lists it as uncharacterized. The transcript is spliced from 2 exons. NCBI's taxonomy places the organism in Eukaryota, Viridiplantae, Streptophyta, Magnoliopsida, Solanales, Solanaceae. The record is from RefSeq and is a predicted model, not a curated record.